RNAcentral lists this ribosomal RNA (468 nucleotides) under uncultured bacterium. Its description in RNAcentral is "partial 16S ribosomal RNA". It matches the Rfam family "Bacterial small subunit ribosomal RNA", at positions 28 to 507 of the family's 1533-position model. The record is from RNAcentral.
GACGAACGCUGGCGGCGUGCUUAACACAUGCAAGUCGAACGGAAAGGCCCUGCUUUUGUGGGGUGCUCGAGUGGCGAACGGGUGAGUAACACGUGAGUAACCUGCCCUUGACUUUGGGAUAACUUCAGGAAACUGGGGCUAAUACCGGAUAGGAGCUCCUGCUGCAUGGUGGGGGUUGGAAAGUUUCGGCGGUUGGGGAUGGACUCGCGGCUUAUCAGCUUGUUGGUGGGGUAGUGGCUUACCAAGGCUUUGACGGGUAGCCGGCCUGAGAGGGUGACCGGCCACAUUGGGACUGAGAUACGGCCCAGACUCCUACGGGAGGCAGCAGUGGGGAAUAUUGCACAAUGGGCGGGAGCCUGAUGCAGCAACGCCGCGUGCGGGAUGACGGCCUUCGGGCUGUAAACCGCUUUCGCCUGUGACGAAGCGUGAGUGACGGUAAUGGGUAAAGAAGCACCGGCUAACUACGUG